RNAcentral lists this long non-coding RNA (830 nucleotides) under Callithrix jacchus (white-tufted-ear marmoset). RNAcentral describes it as "lncRNA (ENSCJAG00000072708.1)". Lineage: Eukaryota; Metazoa; Chordata; Mammalia; Primates; Cebidae. The record is from RNAcentral.
UUUCUUUGCUAUGCAAAAAAUUACUUUCCUUAAACGGACUGAUUAAGUUACUCAAAAUCGUCACUUCAGGUUUUUUGAAUUGAUUGUGUCCUGCAGUUGGUGUGAAACAUGAAAUCGUGUAACACUGCAGCGUGAAGUGCCCAUGAAACCAGGAGCUGGGCAAUGUUGGUUCACCACACCUGUUCAGUAACAUCAUGGCACCUCACGCGGCUCAUCUCACUGUGCUGGGACUCCGCUUUCUGAUCGCUGAAGUGAGCAAACAGCCAUUCAUGUUGUUCGGCUGGUUAUUCUAGAGUAAAAGAUAUGAAACUUGGUCAAAAAGAUUAAGGGAUUUGCCUAAAGUCACAGUGCUCUGUACGAGUGAAAUCAGAUGGUUCUCCCACUAUGGUGGCAACUAAAAACUUCUCCCAUCCUGUUUCGGAUUCUACUCUACCUUUACUGGCACCAUCUCAUUGAAGAAAGCGUCUAUGAGGAUUCCACUGGAGUCUUGUGAACAUGAACACUACACUUGACACUCUAAGUUAGAGAGGCAAAAUGUGAUGUCUAAAAUCAUACAGCAAGUGCGGCAAAAUGUAGCAGAGACUUCAGAGUCUGAAAGACCUGGGUUCAAAAUCUGGCUCCACUAUUACCACUUUGGGUGAGUUACUUUGCUCCUCUAAGCCUCACUUUCCACGUCUGCAAAAUUGAUGUUUUUCUGGAAGGAUUUUGGAGAGGAUUCAAGGUGACAACAUAAAGGGAGAGUGAGCAGAAGAAGAUCCUUACUCGGUGCUUUGUAAGGGUGAGCUUCCUCUCCUUCCAGGGAUGUGGGGAAGCCGAGAUAGACGAGAGAU